Molecule: ribosomal RNA, 408 nt
Filed under: uncultured bacterium
Lineage: Bacteria
Description: partial 16S ribosomal RNA
Rfam family: Bacterial small subunit ribosomal RNA
Source: RNAcentral
GACGAACGCUGGCGGCGUGCUUAACACAUGCAAGUCGAACGAAGUGGCGAACGGGUGAGUAACGCGUAAUCAACCUGCCCUUCAGAGGGGGACAACAGUUGGAAACGACUGCUAAUACCGCAUACUGAAGGAGGGGAUUGCGUCUGAUUAGCUAGUUGGAGGGGUAACGGCCCACCAAGGCGAUGAUCAGUAGCGGGUCUUAGGGGAGGAACGGCCAAAUUGGUCCGGAGACCGGCCCCAGACUCCUAGGGGAGGCAGCAUGGGGGAAUCGUCCGAAAUGGACGAAAGUCUGCCGGCGCAACGCCGCGGGAGGGAUGACGGCCUUCGGGUUGUAAAGCUCUGUUAAUCGGGACGCGUUACCGGAAUCGAAAGCCACGGCUAACUACUUGCCAGCAGCCGCGGUAAUAC